GACGAACGCUGGCGGCGUGCUUAACACAUGCAAGUCGAGCGGUAAGGCCCUUUCGGGGGUACACGAGCGGCGAACGGGUGAGUAACACGUGGGUGACCUGCCCUCAGCUCUGGGAUAAGCCUGGGAAACUGGGUCUAAUACUGGAUAUGACUCCACGGUGCAUGUCGUGGGGUGGAAAGCCUUGUGCGGCUGAGGAUGGGCCCGCGGCCUAUCAGCUUGUUGGUGGGGUGANGGCCUACCAAGGCGACGACGGGUAGCCGGCCUGAGAGGGCAACCGGCCACACUGGGACUGAGACACGGCCCAGACUCCUACGGGAGGCAGCAGUGGGGAAUCUUGCGCAAUGGGCGAAAGCCUGACGCAGCGACGCCGCGUGAGGGAUGACGGCCU
Molecule: ribosomal RNA, 388 nt
Filed under: uncultured bacterium
Lineage: Bacteria
Description: bacterial SSU rRNA
Rfam family: Bacterial small subunit ribosomal RNA
Source: RNAcentral